CUGAAGUCUACUGGUGUGGAUUACACGUCGAACUGACAUCCUUGACCUACACCAGCCUUUACCGGAUAAUGCAGCUUGAUGUUACAGCUCCCCCAUCUUCAACCAGUUCAUCAUCUAGGACAACAUUCAGCUCAGUCUCUAAGGAAGCAACUGCCCCAUCUACAGCAACAUCUAACAAUCAUGGUUCUUCUGUGGUGCUCCCUGUCUUCCUGGCCCUGGUGGUAGCGGUGCUGUUUGGAAUCACUCUCUUCAUUGGUGUAAAGUACAGAAAGAACAGGGGCAGAG
Molecule: long non-coding RNA, 285 nt
Organism: Sardina pilchardus (European sardine)
Lineage: Eukaryota; Metazoa; Chordata; Actinopteri; Clupeiformes; Clupeidae
Exons: 3
Source: RefSeq, a predicted model, not a curated record